This 21-nucleotide non-coding RNA is filed under the name Caenorhabditis elegans. Lineage: Eukaryota; Metazoa; Nematoda; Chromadorea; Rhabditida; Rhabditidae. The record is from RNAcentral.
UUUAAAACAGUUGAGCAUUGA